RNAcentral lists this ribosomal RNA (468 nucleotides) under uncultured bacterium. RNAcentral describes it as "partial 16S ribosomal RNA". It matches the Rfam family "Bacterial small subunit ribosomal RNA", at positions 28 to 507 of the family's 1533-position model. The record is from RNAcentral.
GACGAACGCUGGCGGCGUGCUUAACACAUGCAAGUCGAACGGAAAGGCCCUGCUUUUGUGGGGUGCUCGAGUGGCGAACGGGUGAGUAACACGUGAGUAACCUGCCCUUGACUGUGGGAUAACUUCAGGAAACUGGGGCUAAUACCGGAUAGGAGCUCCUGCUGCAUGGUGGGGGUUGGAAAGUUUCGGCGGUUGGGGAUGGACUCGCGGCUUAUCAGCUUGUUGGUGGGGUAGUGGCUUACCAAGGCUUUGACGGGUAGCCGGCCUGAGCGGGUGACCGGCCACAUUGGGACUGAGCUACGGCCCAGACUCCUACGGGAGGCAGCGGUGGGGAAUAUUACACAAUGGGCGGAAGCCUGAUGUAGCCACGCCGCGUGCGGGAUGACGGCAUUCGGGUUGUAAACCAAUUUCGCCUGUGACGAAGCGUUAGUGACGGUAAUGGGUAAAGAAGCACCGGCUAACUACGUG